RNAcentral lists this transfer RNA (71 nucleotides) under Cavia porcellus (domestic guinea pig). It matches the Rfam family "tRNA". From Rfam's summary of the family: Transfer RNA (tRNA) molecules are approximately 80 nucleotides in length. Their secondary structure includes four short double-helical elements and three loops (D, anti-codon, and T loops). Lineage: Eukaryota; Metazoa; Chordata; Mammalia; Rodentia; Caviidae. The record is from Rfam by way of RNAcentral.
GGGGAUGUGGCUUGUUGGUAGAGUUCUUGCCUUGCAUGCAUAAGGCCUAGGUUCAAUUCUCAGCAUCACAA